GGCUCAUCAUCUACCUCAUCAUCUGUUGUCGCACCAUCUUGCUUGUCUUGUUCACUGUAGUUGAUGUGCUCUCCGUUUGGCUCUUGGUCCUCCUCCUCAAGCUCUGGGCCAUCAACCAUGCUUCCUUUUAGCUGUAUCUCGUGGCUCCAAGACUCAUCAUCAGUUUUGUCAGCAUCUAUUGAACUGAUUUCAGAAUCAGUUACUUCGCACCAUGGCCUUUGGUCAGGUUCUAAAGUUUGGACUUCUUCUCCAUGAGUGAAACCUCUAUGCUCUGAGUCAUCUUGGUCUUCUGGCUCGGUGCUGUAGUCUCCUUCAUGAUAUUGAGACUCAGUUUUGUCCUCCCAAGUGUCUCCUUCAUGGUCACCUUCUAUAUCUUCUUCUCGGUCUGUCUCUUCAUCUCUAGACCAAGCUGAUUGAUUGGUGUUGUCUCUGUUGUAAUAGGGUGGCUCUGGCUCGUACUCUUCUCCAUCUGAAUCAUCUCCUACUCU
RNAcentral lists this long non-coding RNA (488 nucleotides) under Eutrema salsugineum. Its description in RNAcentral is "long non-coding RNA (ESAL_LNC001314)". Lineage: Eukaryota; Viridiplantae; Streptophyta; Magnoliopsida; Brassicales; Brassicaceae. The record is from RNAcentral.